UACAGAGGUCCCGAGCGUUGUUCGGAUUCACUGGGCGUAAAGGGUGCGUAGGUGGUGAGGUAAGUCGGAUGUGAAAGCUCCAAGCUCAACUUGGAAAUGGCAUUGGAAACUACCUUGCUAGAGGGUUUGAGGGGGGACUGGAAUACUUGGUGUAGCAGUGAAAUGCGUAGAUAUCAUGAGGAAUACCAGAGGCGAAGGCGGCUACCUGGACAAUUGCUGACGCUCAGGCACGAAAGCGUGGGGAGCAAAAGGG
Molecule: ribosomal RNA, 253 nt
Filed under: uncultured bacterium
Lineage: Bacteria
Description: partial 16S ribosomal RNA
Rfam family: Bacterial small subunit ribosomal RNA
Source: RNAcentral